UACGUAGGGGGCAAGCGUUGUCCGGAUUCAUUGGGCGUAAAGAGCGUGUAGGCGGCCAGGUAGGUCGGUUGUGAAAACUGGAGGCUCAACCUUCAGACGUCGACCGAAACCAUCUGGCUAGAGUCCGGGAGAGGAGAGUGGAAUUCCUGGUGUAGCGGUGAAAUGCGCAGAUAUCAGGAAGAACACCCGUGGCGAAAGCGGCUCUCUGGAACGGUACUGACGCUGAGGCGCGACAGCGUGGGGAGCAAACAGG
This 253-nucleotide ribosomal RNA is filed under the name uncultured bacterium. Its description in RNAcentral is "partial 16S ribosomal RNA". It matches the Rfam family "Bacterial small subunit ribosomal RNA", at positions 524 to 776 of the family's 1533-position model. The record is from RNAcentral.